GACGAACGCUGGCGGCGUGCCUAAUACAUGCAAGUAGAACGCACAGUUUAUACCGUAGCUUGCUACACCAUAGACUGUGAGUUGCGAACGGGUGAGCAACGCGUAGGUAACCUGCCUGGUAGCGGGGGAUAACUAUUGGAAACGAUAGCUAAUACCGCAUAAUAUUAAUUAUUGCAUGAUAAUUAAUUGAAAGGUGCAAUUGCACCACUACCAGAUGGCCCUGCGUUGUAUUAGCUAGUAGGUGAGGUAACGGCUCACCUAGGCGACGAUACAUAGCCGACCGGAGAGGGUGAUCGGCCACACUGGGACUGAGACACGGCACAGACUCCUACGGGAGGCAGCAGUAGGGAAUCGUGGGCAAUGGACGAAAGUCUGACCGAGCAACGCCGCGGGAGGGAAGAAGGUUUUCGGAUCGUAAAGCUCUGUUGUAAGAGAAGAACGGGUGUGAGAGUGGAAAGUUCACAGUGUGACGGUAGCUUACCAGAAAGGGACGGCUAACUACGUG
Molecule: ribosomal RNA, 505 nt
Filed under: uncultured bacterium
Lineage: Bacteria
Description: partial 16S ribosomal RNA
Rfam family: Bacterial small subunit ribosomal RNA
Source: RNAcentral